Molecule: ribosomal RNA, 2903 nt
Filed under: Escherichia coli
Lineage: Bacteria; Pseudomonadati; Pseudomonadota; Gammaproteobacteria; Enterobacterales; Enterobacteriaceae
Description: 23S ribosomal RNA
Rfam family: Bacterial large subunit ribosomal RNA
Source: RNAcentral
GGUUAAGCGACUAAGCGUACACGGUGGAUGCCCUGGCAGUCAGAGGCGAUGAAGGACGUGCUAAUCUGCGAUAAGCGUCGGUAAGGUGAUAUGAACCGUUAUAACCGGCGAUUUCCGAAUGGGGAAACCCAGUGUGUUUCGACACACUAUCAUUAACUGAAUCCAUAGGUUAAUGAGGCGAACCGGGGGAACUGAAACAUCUAAGUACCCCGAGGAAAAGAAAUCAACCGAGAUUCCCCCAGUAGCGGCGAGCGAACGGGGAGCAGCCCAGAGCCUGAAUCAGUAUGUGUGUUAGUGGAAGCGUCUGGAAAGGCGCGCGAUACAGGGUGACAGCCCCGUACACAAAAAUGCACAUGCUGUGAGCUCGAUGAGUAGGGCGGGACACGUGGUAUCCUGUCUGAAUAUGGGGGGACCAUCCUCCAAGGCUAAAUACUCCUGACUGACCGAUAGUGAACCAGUACCGUGAGGGAAAGGCGAAAAGAACCCCGGCGAGGGGAGUGAAAAAGAACCUGAAACCGUGUACGUACAAGCAGUGGGAGCACGCUUAGGCGUGUGACUGCGUACCUUUUGUAUAAUGGGUCAGCGACUUAUAUUCUGUAGCAAGGUUAACCGAAUAGGGGAGCCGAAGGGAAACCGAGUCUUAACUGGGCGUUAAGUUGCAGGGUAUAGACCCGAAACCCGGUGAUCUAGCCAUGGGCAGGUUGAAGGUUGGGUAACACUAACUGGAGGACCGAACCGACUAAUGUUGAAAAAUUAGCGGAUGACUUGUGGCUGGGGGUGAAAGGCCAAUCAAACCGGGAGAUAGCUGGUUCUCCCCGAAAGCUAUUUAGGUAGCGCCUCGUGAAUUCAUCUCCGGGGGUAGAGCACUGUUUCGGCAAGGGGGUCAUCCCGACUUACCAACCCGAUGCAAACUGCGAAUACCGGAGAAUGUUAUCACGGGAGACACACGGCGGGUGCUAACGUCCGUCGUGAAGAGGGAAACAACCCAGACCGCCAGCUAAGGUCCCAAAGUCAUGGUUAAGUGGGAAACGAUGUGGGAAGGCCCAGACAGCCAGGAUGUUGGCUUAGAAGCAGCCAUCAUUUAAAGAAAGCGUAAUAGCUCACUGGUCGAGUCGGCCUGCGCGGAAGAUGUAACGGGGCUAAACCAUGCACCGAAGCUGCGGCAGCGACACUAUGUGUUGUUGGGUAGGGGAGCGUUCUGUAAGCCUGUGAAGGUGUACUGUGAGGUAUGCUGGAGGUAUCAGAAGUGCGAAUGCUGACAUAAGUAACGAUAAAGCGGGUGAAAAGCCCGCUCGCCGGAAGACCAAGGGUUCCUGUCCAACGUUAAUCGGGGCAGGGUGAGUCGACCCCUAAGGCGAGGCCGAAAGGCGUAGUCGAUGGGAAACAGGUUAAUAUUCCUGUACUUGGUGUUACUGCGAAGGGGGGACGGAGAAGGCUAUGUUGGCCGGGCGACGGUUGUCCCGGUUUAAGCGUGUAGGCUGGUUUUCCAGGCAAAUCCGGAAAAUCAAGGCUGAGGCGUGAUGACGAGGCACUACGGUGCUGAAGCAACAAAUGCCCUGCUUCCAGGAAAAGCCUCUAAGCAUCAGGUAACAUCAAAUCGUACCCCAAACCGACACAGGUGGUCAGGUAGAGAAUACCAAGGCGCUUGAGAGAACUCGGGUGAAGGAACUAGGCAAAAUGGUGCCGUAACUUCGGGAGAAGGCACGCUGAUAUGUAGGUGAAGUCCCUCGCGGAUGGAGCUGAAAUCAGUCGAAGAUACCAGCUGGCUGCAACUGUUUAUUAAAAACACAGCACUGUGCAAACACGAAAGUGGACGUAUACGGUGUGACGCCUGCCCGGUGCCGGAAGGUUAAUUGAUGGGGUUAGCGCAAGCGAAGCUCUUGAUCGAAGCCCCGGUAAACGGCGGCCGUAACUAUAACGGUCCUAAGGUAGCGAAAUUCCUUGUCGGGUAAGUUCCGACCUGCACGAAUGGCGUAAUGAUGGCCAGGCUGUCUCCACCCGAGACUCAGUGAAAUUGAACUCGCUGUGAAGAUGCAGUGUACCCGCGGCAAGACGGAAAGACCCCGUGAACCUUUACUAUAGCUUGACACUGAACAUUGAGCCUUGAUGUGUAGGAUAGGUGGGAGGCUUUGAAGUGUGGACGCCAGUCUGCAUGGAGCCGACCUUGAAAUACCACCCUUUAAUGUUUGAUGUUCUAACGUUGACCCGUGAUCCGGGUUGCGGACAGUGUCUGGUGGGUAGUUUGACUGGGGCGGUCUCCUCCUAAAGAGUAACGGAGGAGCACGAAGGUUGGCUAAUCCUGGUCGGACAUCAGGAGGUUAGUGCAAUGGCAUAAGCCAGCUUGACUGCGAGCGUGACGGCGCGAGCAGGUGCGAAAGCAGGUCAUAGUGAUCCGGUGGUUCUGAAUGGAAGGGCCAUCGCUCAACGGAUAAAAGGUACUCCGGGGAUAACAGGCUGAUACCGCCCAAGAGUUCAUAUCGACGGCGGUGUUUGGCACCUCGAUGUCGGCUCAUCACAUCCUGGGGCUGAAGUAGGUCCCAAGGGUAUGGCUGUUCGCCAUUUAAAGUGGUACGCGAGCUGGGUUUAGAACGUCGUGAGACAGUUCGGUCCCUAUCUGCCGUGGGCGCUGGAGAACUGAGGGGGGCUGCUCCUAGUACGAGAGGACCGGAGUGGACGCAUCACUGGUGUUCGGGUUGUCAUGCCAAUGGCACUGCCCGGUAGCUAAAUGCGGAAGAGAUAAGUGCUGAAAGCAUCUAAGCACGAAACUUGCCCCGAGAUGAGUUCUCCCUGACUCCUUGAGAGUCCUGAAGGAACGUUGAAGACGACGACGUUGAUAGGCCGGGUGUGUAAGCGCAGCGAUGCGUUGAGCUAACCGGUACUAAUGAACCGUGAGGCUUAACCUU